This 551-nucleotide ribosomal RNA is filed under the name uncultured archaeon. RNAcentral's name for it is "bacterial SSU rRNA". It matches the Rfam family "Archaeal small subunit ribosomal RNA", at positions 326 to 879 of the family's 1478-position model. The record is from RNAcentral.
CGGGGUGCAGCAGGCGCGAAAACUUUGCAAUAAGCGAAAGCUUGACAGGGCUAUCCCGAGUGCCAUCCGCUGAGGAAGGCUUUUACCCAGUCUAGAACGCUGGGGGAAUAAGGAGAGGGCAAGUCUGGUGUCAGCCGCCGCGGUAAUACCAGCUCUCCGAGUGGUGUGGGUGUUUAUUGGGCCUAAAGCAUCCGUAGCUGGCUAAGUUAGUCCCUUGUUAAAUCCACCGAAUUAAUCGUUGGAUUGCGGGGGAUACUGCUUGGCUAGGGGACGAGAGAGGCAGACGGUAUUUUCGGGGUAGGGGUGAAAUCCUAUAAUCCCGGGAAGACCACCAGUGGCGAAGGCUGUCUGCUAGAACGCGCCCGACGGUGAGGGAUGAAAGCUGGGGGAGCGAACCGGAUUAGAUACCCGGGUAGUCCCAGCUGUAGACGAUGCAGACUAGGUGUUUGGACGGCCACGUGCCGUUCUAGUGCCGCAGGGAAGCUGUUAAGUCUGCCGCCUGGGGAGUACGAUCGCAAGAUUGAAACUUAAAGGAAUUGGCGGGGGAGCAC